UAUAAGUCUCCUGAAGGAACGUUGAAGACGACGACGUUGAUAGGUCGGGUGUGUAAGCGCAGCGAUGCGUUGAGCUAACCGAUACUAAUGAACCGUGAGGCUUAACCUU
Molecule: ribosomal RNA, 109 nt
Filed under: Enterobacter kobei
Lineage: Bacteria; Pseudomonadati; Pseudomonadota; Gammaproteobacteria; Enterobacterales; Enterobacteriaceae
Description: partial 23S ribosomal RNA
Rfam family: Bacterial large subunit ribosomal RNA
Source: RNAcentral